AGUGAACGCUGGCGGUACGCCUAACACAUGCAAGUCGAACGGCAGCACCGUAAGAGCUUGCUCGUACGGGUGGCGAGUAGCGGACGGGUGAGGAAUAACUCGGAAUCUACUUUUUCGUGGGGUGUAACGUAGCCAAACUUACUCUAAUACCUCAUACGUCCUACGGGUGAAAGCAGGGGAUCUUCGAACCUUGCGCUCUUGAAUUAGCCGAUGUCGGAUGAGCUAGUUGGCGUGGUAAAGGCCCACCAAGGCGACGAUCCGUAGCUGGUCUGAGAGGAUGAGCGGCCACACUGGAAUUGAGACACGGUCCAGACUCCGACGGGAGCGAGCAGUGGGGAAGAUUGGACAAUGGCAGCAAGCCUGAGCCAGCCAUAGCGCGUGGGUGAAGAAGGCCUUCGGGUUGGAAAUCCCUUCUGUUGGGAAAGAAAAGCAGCCGAUUAGUAUGCCGCUGUUGUGACGGUACCCAAGGAAUAAGCACCGGCUAACUUCGUG
Molecule: ribosomal RNA, 492 nt
Filed under: uncultured bacterium
Lineage: Bacteria
Description: partial 16S ribosomal RNA
Rfam family: Bacterial small subunit ribosomal RNA
Source: RNAcentral